This 2721-nucleotide long non-coding RNA is filed under the name Sparus aurata (gilthead seabream). RNAcentral's name for it is "lncRNA (ENSSAUG00010001694.1)". The record is from RNAcentral. Lineage: Eukaryota; Metazoa; Chordata; Actinopteri; Spariformes; Sparidae.
AUGGAACCAAAGAUGCAUGUUAGUCAAUAUUUUCUGCUUUUAUAUUUUGUCCUACUCUUGCAUGGAGCCCCUGCAUUCCAAACUUCAGACCUGCCUAUGAAGUCUUGUUUUUUGAAUAACACCCUAUACAAAAUGCUAGAAAUGCCUUGCUCCACUCAACCAUAUCAAGAAACGCAUUCAAGAGUUAAAGGAGAAAAAACUGUGUACCUAAAGAUUAUGGUAAAUCCUCUAAAUUUGGUCUUCAAUUAGGGUUUAACUUCAUUUAAAGAAAACAUUUGCUCUGUAAGGGAAUUAACCACGUGACCAUACUGGCGUACAGUCUACUUUAUGCAUGAUUUGAUUUGUUGUCAAAAUGAUGCUCCACAUCUGUUUUUGGACUUACUUUUGAUCAACACCAAGCUCUUAUUGUUUUUCUUUUUCUUUUUUUUCUUUAAUUUUUUUCCCCUCUUGUUUUAUGACGGGGUGGAACGUGCCCCUGAGAGUCUGUUGCCGAAGUGGAUGAAGCACAAUGUGAGAACAGCCAGGAGCCGCACCUCCACAUGUUGAAAUAAGCACUUUUCCUCGGACACUUGUAUCAAUUCCCUGUUGGUACAGUUAAUGAUACAGAAUGCAUAUUUUUCUUUUUUUUUUGCCUUUCUGCCUUUUUAUUAGAACAUUUAGUAAAUUAAUCCUAGAAGUUAUCCCACACAUUGAAACUUCAUUAUUUAUCUGCAUUCGCUGCGGAAGUAAAGGAAGGUGCUCGUGGUGGUUAACUAUGGAAUGGGCCCUUUCUGUUGGUGAUGUACAUUUGUAAAUCAUCAUCAUUACACCUUUUUGCUUAGAGAUGUUUUUAGGACAUCUCAAAGUAAAUCAACCAAAUACAUUUCCAUUUCUUUUACAGGUCUGUCCUGUUUUGCCCACAAAACAUAACCUCGUUUGUGUUUACAUCCUACUUAGGCCUGUUUCCUUUUUGUUGACAAAUAUGAUUUUGUCCCAGACAUUUUCUGUUUUCAAAAGAAUUGUAAAAUGUCACCCUAACCUGAUUGAUCACACUGAUAUUUCCACAUAAAAACAUGGCCACACUUUAAAAUUUGGCAUUUAACUGAUGGGAAUGAAGUGCUCUCAUGUUACUUGCUUUCAAAGUUGCACUUGCUCUUUGUAAAGAUAGGUUGUCGCUCCCAAGAUUGAAUAAUGAACAGAUGUUGUACCUUUUGUAUUCAAGCAUCAGUUGAAAGUGACUGUCUCGUCACAUCCUAACUGAAUUGCCUUCGACCACUAUCAACAGUCUACGUCUAUAUAUGAGACUUUGAGCUUCUGCUUCCAGUCCUUUUGUAUUCAGGAUAUCAAGACAUUGUAAGCACAUGGCUGGCUGCAUUUUUGUGUCCUGAAUGAAUUCAGAAGUUUGAUUGUAUGACUUUUAACACAAUUCUGUAGCCUCUAAGCUGCCAUGUGGACUCUUAGCUUCUUACGCCGACAAAAAUAAGGAAAAUGUUUAUCAGACCCCUGGCUUCAAUAAAACCAAGAAUCCAAACUUUGUUCGACGUUUCACAUUUUUGUGUCUGUGUAUGCAAGUGUUUGAUUAAUCGUGUUUUCGACAAAAUACUGAACGUUGUGAGAACGGAACAUUUCACAACAUUAAUUUAUCCACAAGAACGCCACAUGGAAGCACAUAGCAAUAUGAAAUAGUGUUAUUGAGUUACUAACACUGGUGCUGAUUGCUCAAUUAAAAAUGGAAAUGUAAGCACUCAAUGACACUGUUAGUAAAACACUGAAAGAUUGCAAGUAUAGGCAGAGAUUAAAAGAUUUUAAUGUUGACCCCCUUUGCUUUUUAUACACAAAAUAUGUCUCAAAUUACACAUUUUAUUAUCUAAGGCAUUGCUGAGGAAAUCUACCCAUUGUACAUUUUAGACAAGCCUUUGGAUGAGAUAGAGGGGGUGACAUGCAACAAAGGGCGACAGGUCGGACUUGAACCCUGGGGUGCUGCAGCAAGGACAAGGCCCUUACACUCAGGACUCCCGCUCUACCAACUGAUCUAACAGGUGCCCCUAAAAAUCAUUUCUAGAGCUUCACAGAGAAACUGUUCACCCAAAGAACUAAAGUAGAUGUGGACUUGUUUUAAAAUGUAAAAAAUAAUAAUAAUAAAUUGAAUGGCUUCAUGCAGCUUUAUCUUGCAGAAUCCACGUCUAAGUUUCCAGGUUCCAAAUGCAUUUGAAAAUACUUUAUUUGCACGUUUUCUUUUAGAGCUGAAAUCUUCACUAUAGUUGCUAAGCUAAAGGGUUGUCUGUUUCAAGUGCAUGUAAAUACUGGCGUGAACUCAGUUUGGGAUCUCGGGGCUUCCUCAGACUUGGACUAUGGAGUUUUUUUUUUUUACAUUUUAAAACACGUCCUCAUCUACAUCAGUUGUUCAGGACAGUGCUUCAAUGCUGUUGCUCUGUGAGGAUCCCACACUGAGUUGACAAGACAUUAUUUAAACCCAUUUCAGACAGGUGCUUUCUAACUCUUGGUGAAGAUUUUGGCACCAAGAAAAGGUCUAAAUAAAGUUUUUCCAAAUCAGUUUGGAAACUUAAGGCUUCCACAGCCUUGGAUUACUUAGGAGGGCUGCUAGGGACGAGAAGAAGGUGGCUGAAAUGUACCUUUUUUUUUUUUACUUAUCCUUUAAAAAUUGUUGAAGCCAAGCAUGGCAACUGUGUGGACUCCAGAGAGAACUGUACUUGAUCCACUGGCAUCACAAGCAGAGAUCUG